RNAcentral lists this unclassified non-coding RNA (1158 nucleotides) under Hevea brasiliensis (rubber tree). The record is from RNAcentral. Lineage: Eukaryota; Viridiplantae; Streptophyta; Magnoliopsida; Malpighiales; Euphorbiaceae.
CCAACAUCUUUGGAGACAAUGUCAAAUCGCCCUGUUUUCUCUAGUCCUUCUUUCAGCACCCUUGUAUUUUCCAUACAGUUUUCAAUGACUCUCUUAUAACCCUCAAAACCAAGCCUUAUAAACUGAUAAUAUUGAGCAAUAAUUUGACUAGAGCCUUUUGAGAAGUUGAGAGUGAAAGUGGGUUGAUCAGAUCCAAGGUAGUUAAUGUGAAAUAUAAGCUCCUCCGGCAAGUCUUCUUUAGCUCUCCAGAUGACCCAACCAACACCAGCAUAAACAAGGCCAUACUUAUGCCCACUUACAUUAAUACUCUUCACCAAUGGCAAACGGAAGUCCCAUAGAAGAUCUGGGCAAACAAAAGGAGCAAUGAAGCCUCCACUGGCAGCAUCAACAUGAAUUGGGGUGUUCCAUCCGGUCUCCUCAUUCUUUUUAGUGAGUAGUUCGUUAAGAAGCUUCACAUCUUCAAACUCUCCUGUCAGGGUUGAUCCCAAAAUGGCUGCAACACAGAUUGUAUUCUCAUCUACCAUCUCAACUGCUUUCACAGGGUCCAUCACAUAAUAGCCCUCUGUCAGCUUCACCUCCUUCAGUUCAACUUCAAAGUACCUUGCAAAUUUCUCCCAGCAGACUUGCACAUUAGCUCCAGUCACAAUGUUGGGCUUAUCAUACGGUUUGCCCUCUGCCUUUCUCUUGUUCUGCCACUUCCUUUUAAAAGCUAAUCCAGCCAGCAUUAUUGCCUCUGAUGAUCCCACAGUCCCCACGCCGAUUGCAGUUUCAUCAUCUCCAACAGGAGCAUGGAGCAGGUGAGCUAUCAUAUUCACACACCGAUUCUGGAGCUCAGUGGUAACAGGGUACUCAUCCAUAUCAACAUAAUUCUUGUUCAUAGAAGCCAUAAUGAGAUCAUUGCACUCAGGCUCCAUCCAAGUGGUGACAAAAGAAGCCAAGUUAAGCCUUGGAUUCCCAUCCAGCAUCAGCUCAUCAUUGAUCACCUGAUAUGCUGCUUCCUUGGGCAUCGACUUCUCUGGCAUCUUAAACCUUGGAACAGGAGCGCGAACAUAUCUGGAAGCAAAAGUGGAGUGCAGAAGCGCAUCGGAGUCGGCAGCAAUGGUGCUAGCGAUGACCAUCCUUGUUGAGUUAUUCUUAUGAGAAUGAGGAGUGGAUUAA